GUGAAUCAUCGAAUCUUUGAACGCAAAUUGCACUCCCUGGCAUUCCGGAGAGUAUGCCUGUUUGAGGGUAGGUUUAAAUAAAAAUCGAGGCGUUGCCCUUUUGUGACCCAUAGGAAUUGGGCAACCUUUGACCUUUUAAAAGGUUUAAGUGACCUAAAAUUGAUACCUUGUGCAUCCCAGACGUACAUAAGAAUAUUUUUUUAACGGUCCGGUGUUGCCAACUUUUAUUAUGUAUGACCAUGUUGAUUGUGGCAUCGUACCGAUAAU
This 267-nucleotide unclassified non-coding RNA is filed under the name Glomus sp. Its description in RNAcentral is "partial contains 5.8S ribosomal RNA and internal transcribed spacer 2". The stretch from base 1 to 71 matches the Rfam family "5.8S ribosomal RNA", at positions 84 to 154 of the family's 154-position model. Lineage: Eukaryota; Fungi; Glomeromycota; Glomeromycetes; Glomerales; Glomeraceae. The record is from RNAcentral.